GAUGUUCAUUCAAAUAUCUGCCUAUCAACUUUCGAUGGUAGGAUAGAGGCCUACCAUGGUUUCAACGGGGUAACGGGGAAUAAGGGUUCGAUUCCCGGAGAGGGAGCCUGAGAAACGGUACCACAUCCAAGGAAGGCAGCAGGGCGCAAAUUACCCAAUCCCGACACGGGGAGGUAGUGACAAUAAAUAACAAUAUAGGGCUCAUUUGGGUCUUAUAAUCGGAAUGAGUACAAUUUAAAUCCCUUAACGAGGAACAAUUGGAGGGCAAGUCUGGUGCCAGCAGCCGGGUAAUUCCAGCUCCAAUAGCGUAUAUUAAAGUUGUUGCAGU
This 328-nucleotide ribosomal RNA is filed under the name uncultured fungus. RNAcentral describes it as "SSU rRNA". It matches the Rfam family "Eukaryotic small subunit ribosomal RNA", at positions 290 to 619 of the family's 1831-position model. Lineage: Eukaryota; Fungi. The record is from RNAcentral.